UGAGCAACUUUAAUGGUUAUCCCAGGAA
This 28-nucleotide non-coding RNA is filed under the name Mus musculus (house mouse). Lineage: Eukaryota; Metazoa; Chordata; Mammalia; Rodentia; Muridae. The record is from RNAcentral.